This 253-nucleotide ribosomal RNA is filed under the name uncultured bacterium. RNAcentral describes it as "partial 16S ribosomal RNA". It matches the Rfam family "Bacterial small subunit ribosomal RNA", at positions 524 to 776 of the family's 1533-position model. The record is from RNAcentral.
GACGUAGGGGGCAAGCGUUGUUCGGAAUUAUUGGGCGUAAAGCGCUCGUAGGCGGGAAUGGAAGUCCGUGUUGAAAGACCUCGGCUCAACUGAGGGACCGGCUCGGAUACUCUAGUUCUUGAGGCAAUCAGAGGGUGAUGGAAUUCCCGGUGUAGCGGUGAAAUGCGCAGAUAUCGGGAAGAACACCCGUGGCGAAGGCGGUUCUCUGGGACGGUACUGACGCUGAGACGCGAAAGCGUGGGGAGCGAACAGG